Long non-coding RNA from Anopheles coluzzii, 836 nucleotides. RefSeq lists it as uncharacterized. The transcript has 2 exons. NCBI's taxonomy places the organism in Eukaryota, Metazoa, Arthropoda, Insecta, Diptera, Culicidae. The record is from RefSeq and is a predicted model, not a curated record.
UUAGAUAUUAGAGAAAAUAACUGAAAAUAGAUAGGAAUAUCUUUUUCUUCGCUUAAGCGGUAUUUAUUUAUUAUGUUUAAAAACGAACGUUCGGGUACGGGCCCGGAUAAUCGCGCCAACUGAUUUGGUUGAUCUGUGAUACCACUGUGCAAAUUGACAGCAUAGCACCAUUGUUGUUUAUAAAAUCGUUUGCUGUGUAAACAUUGCAAAUUAUCAAAUUCAGAAGCGCUUUAUACGUUAUAAACUAAGUUAUAUAAUGCCCUAUUUGAUUGCAUCUGGUAAAAUAUUCCUCGUUUACUUGCAGAUAAUUACGUACUCCCAAAUUAAACAUCCGAUCGUCAAUUUAUUAUAAAAGUUGAGGUUGAUCAUCUAAAUCAAGUUUGUUCAGAACUGAAGCGGUUGAACCAAUCCCGAAAAUGACUGUAUCAAUGUAUCAAUGUAAUCACAAUUCGUGAUACCUUCAUUCAACUUUAUGGUGACAAAUAGUCAUUCCUCUUAAUAAUCGCAUAAAAACGCUUGCGGCUACAACAUUUUCUACAACAAACCUUACACGCCACACAAAGAUGUAGGUGUGAAUAUACAUUGCUGUGUGACAAGUGGUUUUUCUUUUAACUUGGACGAUUGUAUUGGUAUAGCAAAACUCUUUUCAAAAAAACAUGGAAACAGGCCGAACACGAAAAUAUUUAUACAUGGUCCAUAAUGCAAACUGGAUGGGUGGAUACUUACGAAUCAAAUUAGUCAUAAAGGCUAUAUAUAACAAAUAGCGCUAUAUGAAUAUGUCACAGUUUUUCUUAUCUUGGCUCACAGCAGCUGAUUAUAAAGAUUCGUCAUCCUUA